UAAAACACCCGAUCGAAACAAUAAAACACGCGAUGGCAGAAGAAUAAGGCACGCAAGAAGAAGACGAAGAGCCCACCCUUCCAAGACGAAGGAAGAGCUGCCAUCUCGAGUUGAGCUUGCGAGAAUUCUAUGCCAAUCAGUGCUUGAAGUUCAACAGGCGUCUAUCUCUCAGGAUUCAACUAUCUAUAAUUCAAGGGUCCAGCACCGGAUCCUUGAAUUCUGGCGAACGUUGGUGUGCUUCUCUCCAAUACAGUUGAUAACUUUAAAAUAAUAUGAGAUAGUUUUUUAAAGAAAAAGAGAUUCGUCUUAUGGCCUAGGACUUGUGGUUUUAUAAUAGACACUAAGUUCUUCCUAAUAUCAGGGACAUGAAAUACAUCUAGAAGGGCUAGUUCCUUCCCAGAGGUAAAUUUCAGCAGCACCUUUCCUUUUCCAGCAAUGGGCAAUUCUUGAUUUGAUCCUUGAUAAAAAUAAAAAAAAUAAAAAAUAAUCUGCAAAGAAAGAAUGAUCCCAACUUUGUGUGAUACCGAUUAUAACAAUUCCUAAUGGAUGGUGUUAAUAUUUGUUGUACUUGUACUUGGAGUCUUUUCUUUAGUUCAUUCGUUUUUUGAUUGAGUGAUUAGUAAGGAAUUUGCUUAAUUUAAUUCAAGAAUGGAAGUAUAGAGGUUUAUCUAUACUAUAUUUAAGAGAAUCCUCUUUGUCAAUUAACCAGGAAGAAUUUUUAUAGUAUUUUUAAUAGCUAAGGUAAGGUUGAUAUAGAGUAUGGUCUCGUGUUGGCCCCAAUCCCAUCUAAAAGAUAACUCAUAUCUUCCACCAUAUAGCUCAUGGUUUUGAACAAUAUUUAUGAAUGAAUAUGAAACUAGGGAUCAACAUUUGGCAUGUGGCGAAUGGGACGAAGUGGGUAGCUCGAUGAUCAAAAGCCCGUUACAGCUUGUUGUUUAGGCUCGUUUGGUCCAGUUCGCUCUUGAAUUGAAUAGGGCAUGGGCGUAGGAUUUGAAAUUCUCAGUCUACUCAUGGCCCAGCCCGCUUAGGCCUGUUUAGGCUCUAUUUUUUUAAAAACUUAAUUGAUGCACUUGCUAACCUCAAUUUAGACUUAAUUGAAACUAGCCCCUUGCAUGUGCC
Prunus persica (peach) is the source of this 1119-nucleotide long non-coding RNA. RefSeq lists it as uncharacterized. The transcript is spliced from 2 exons. The record is from RefSeq and is a predicted model, not a curated record. NCBI's taxonomy places the organism in Eukaryota, Viridiplantae, Streptophyta, Magnoliopsida, Rosales, Rosaceae.